This 137-nucleotide ribosomal RNA is filed under the name Komagataea pratensis. RNAcentral's name for it is "Barnettozyma pratensis ribosomal RNA". Lineage: Eukaryota; Fungi; Ascomycota; Saccharomycetes; Phaffomycetales; Wickerhamomycetaceae. The record is from RNAcentral.
CAUUUAGGCCUGCGCAGCGAUGCGCGGGUUUUUCUACACCAUUGGUUACUUAGCUAAUUUGUUUUGGAGGUAAAACUCCAAAAGUUAAACAAGAAUAAUUUUUUUAAAACACACGUCACCACAACUACUAAAUAUCA